This is a non-coding RNA of Gossypium arboreum, 140 nucleotides long. The record is from Rfam. NCBI's taxonomy places the organism in Eukaryota, Viridiplantae, Streptophyta, Magnoliopsida, Malvales, Malvaceae.
UAUUAAAAUUUUCAUCCAUUUCUACAGUUAAAAAUUAACAUAGCUAACAGAAAAACUAGACAGUUACACUGAAAUGCCGCAUGUACCUCAUUCUAACGUAGCCCAAUUUUUAAUGGUAAAAAUGGACGAAACUUUUAACA